RNAcentral lists this ribosomal RNA (550 nucleotides) under uncultured eukaryote. RNAcentral's name for it is "SSU rRNA". It matches the Rfam family "Eukaryotic small subunit ribosomal RNA", at positions 1170 to 1765 of the family's 1831-position model. The record is from RNAcentral.
CCAUGGAGUGGAGCCUGCGGCUUAAUUUGACUCAACACUGGGAAACUCAUCAGGGCAAGAAGAUUUUAGGAUUGACAGAUUGAGAGUUCUUUCUUGAUUGGUCUAGUGGUGGUGCAUGGCCGUUCUUAGUUGGUGGAGUGAUUUGUCUGGUUAAUUCCGUUAACGAACGAGACCUUAACCUGCUAACUAGUACGUGGAUGUAUAAUCUGCGUUACUUCUUAGAGGGACUAUGUGAUGUAAUCACAUGGAAGUUUGAGGCAAUAACAGGUCUGUGAUGCCCUUAGAUGUCCUGAGCUGCACGCGCGCUACAAUGACACAUUCAACGAGUAUUUCCUGUCCCGAAAGGGCACGGGUAAUCUUUUUAGUGUGUGUCGUGACAGGGAUAGAUCUUUGUAAUUAUGGAUCUUGAACGAGGAAUUCCUAGUAAGCGCAUGUCAUCAGCAUGUGCUGAUUACGUCCCUGCAAAAUGUACACACCGCCCGUCGCUAUUACCGAUUGGGUGUAGAGGUGAACCUUCUCGAUAGCCGCAAGGCUAGAAAUUAAGUAAACC